GCACCGGUGGUGUAUGGUACACACAAUCAACUCAUGUUGGAUGCAAAGAAUGAGUAAAAUUAUGUGUGUCCGGGGUUUGACUCCCCGCCGGUGCA
Mycena latifolia is the source of this 95-nucleotide non-coding RNA. Lineage: Eukaryota; Fungi; Basidiomycota; Agaricomycetes; Agaricales; Mycenaceae. The record is from the annotation of a GenBank genome assembly.